This 459-nucleotide ribosomal RNA is filed under the name uncultured bacterium. Its description in RNAcentral is "partial 16S ribosomal RNA". It matches the Rfam family "Bacterial small subunit ribosomal RNA", at positions 338 to 795 of the family's 1533-position model. The record is from RNAcentral.
CCUACGGGUGGCAGCAGUGAGGAAUAUUGGUCAAUGGUCGGGAGACUGAACCAGCCACGCCGCGUGAGGGAGGAAGGUACAGAGUAUCGUAAACCUCUUUUGUCAGGGAACAAAGGCGGGGACGUGUCCCCGGAUGAGUGUACCUGACGAAAAAGCAUCGGCUAACUCCGUGCCAGCAGCCGCGGUAAUACGGAGGAUGCGAGCGUUAUCCGGAUUUAUUGGGUUUAAGGGGUGCGCAGGCGGUCUGUUAAGUCAGCGGUCAAAGCACGGGGCUCAACCCCGGCCCGCAGUGGAAACUGGCAGUCUCGAGUGGGAGAGAGGUAUGCGGAAUGCGCGGUGUAGCGGUGAAAUGCAUAGAGAUCGCGAAGAACUCCGGUGGCGAAGGCAGCAUGCCGGCUCCACACUGACGCUGAGGUACGAAAGCGUGGGGAUCGAACAGGAUUAGAUACCCUAGUAGUC